UGUGUAGGCGGUUCUCUAAGUCUGGUGUGAAAUCUCCCGGCUCAACUGGGAGGGUGCGCCGAAAACUGGAGGGCUAGAGUGUGGGAUGGGAGAGUGGAAUUCCUGGUGUAGCGGUGAAAUGCGUAGAUAUCAGGAGGAACACCUGUGGUGUAGACGGCUCUCUGGACCGCAACUGACGCUGAGACACGAAAGCGUGGGUAGCAAACAGGAUUAGAUACCCUGGUAGUCCACGCCCUAAACGAUGCAUAUUUGGUGUGGGCCAUUCAUUUGGUCCGUGCCGGAGCUAACGCGUUAAAUAUGCCGCCUGGGGAGUACGGUCGCAAGGCUGAA
RNAcentral lists this ribosomal RNA (330 nucleotides) under uncultured bacterium. Its description in RNAcentral is "bacterial SSU rRNA". It matches the Rfam family "Bacterial small subunit ribosomal RNA", at positions 568 to 898 of the family's 1533-position model. The record is from RNAcentral.